Molecule: long non-coding RNA, 2578 nt
Organism: Betta splendens (Siamese fighting fish)
Lineage: Eukaryota; Metazoa; Chordata; Actinopteri; Anabantiformes; Osphronemidae
Exons: 4
Source: RefSeq, a predicted model, not a curated record
ACAGGACAUUUUACCAGUGUGAGCGGUGGAUGCAAGGAAUGACAUGGAUGCUCCAGCCAGAGGACAAGGGUGGAAACUGGAGGGGCAGAGCAGCCACCGCUGAACCACUAGGAUCGCGAAACUGUUGGUAACACUGUUUAAACACGAGCACACAAUGUAGGUUGGCACCUAUGGACAUCAAGUUGUCUCCCACAGUAGCUGGUACUAGGCCUGACAUGUUGCUGUCUUAUGGCCUGUUCAGAUUUGGCCAUGUCAUGUUGACUUUUGAUCUUUCAAGUGGUGCUAAGGAACAAGAAUGUGUAAUACUUUUAAAUGCAGCAUUUGGACCAAAAAUAAUUCUACAAGUUUUAUAGAAACCUCAAAGCUUUAAGUUAACUUUUGAAUGGCUUUGACUCCAGGCUUUCAGUAUUAAUUGCUGACUCGUCUCUGCCAAGUUUGGGUUCUGCAAAACUUUCCAAUAACUUAGUUUGUGGUGGCGCGUUUAGAAUCUUAUUCUCAAAGCAUAAUGGGAGGCCUCCCAGCAGGGGAACCUAUUUCACCCCUGUUUAUUUUACAGUAGUUUAUUGUUGCACAGAUUGUAUCAUACUUUCAACCGUACGUGGCGCUGUAUUUGGACGGUCGGUGUAUUUAGAGGACCAAACCGGGCAGAGAUGACUCAAAGCAGCUCUGUGAGCACCCAGUUUAUGUUUCAUCCUAGUGAAGAGCACCACAGCAGUGCUACCAAAGCUGGACACUGUUAGAUGAGAUAUUCAGUGAACAUCUGAGUUUUCAAAUGGUUAAUCUUGCAUCCUAAGCUGGCAGGUUAUUGAGGUGCAGUAGUUGUGUGGACAGAAAAUUGGAGUUUCAACCUAGGCUAAAGAGAAAUUGAUAUUUAGUAGACUCCAAAUAUAAGAAAUUAGAAAACCGAUCAGUUUGACAACAUGUUUGGCCCAGUACCAGCUGGAGAGUGUGAUCAGCACUCAAAGGAGCAUGCGGACGAUGCGGUGGAUGCAGCUACGACGGGACCAGCCAGUCCACAAGGAAACACUGAAGUAGCAGAGGAUCAAACUAUAAAACAUCUGUUGAGGUCAAGAUUCUGGCCACAGAACGGUUGCCUCAGGGACUCAUGGACUUCAGGCUGAGUCUCAGUAGCUGGUACUGGGCCUGACAUGGUGCCAAUUUGACCUUCAGAAUUUGGCCAUUGUGAACUCCCCCCCCCAUAAAGUUUUUAAAGCCCUAAAGUUGUUGUAAUCAUCAUCCUAGAUUUUUAUCUGAAAUCGGGGUUGACUGGGUUCAACUCGUGAGGAUUUCAGGGUUAAAUGCUGACUCGUCUCUGCCAUGUUUGAAUUCCUGUGUAAAAGUAACGUGUAUUCUUAAGUUUAUACAGUUCAGUUUUCAGGCAUAAUGGGAGGCCUCCCAGCAGGGGAACUUACCCCACCCCUGCUCUGUAUUUGUACAGUAGCUGGUUGAUACUCGGUUUUAAGUGUUCGUCCGUUCGUGGUGCGAUUUUACUCGGUAGGGCGGCGUUUACAUUGGAAAGCAAACCUGGCAGAGAUGAAUUGAAGCUGAUGAGUGAGUAAAUUUUGUUGUUUCUAGUACUGGUGAGCACAACUACCAAAACCUAAAGGAUGUCUGGUUGCACAGAACUGGUUAACCUGGACUGAGGAAAAAUAAAACAUUAAGUUCAAACUUAAUAUUAAUACGCUUAAAUAAAAGCCUUAACAAAACAGACAUGUUUGGCCCGGUACCAGUUGGAGAGUGUGAUCAGCACUCAAUGGAGGAUGCAGGAAUGACUGGACCAACCAAUAGAGGAGGAAAGACUGAGGAAGCGGAGCAGCCACAACCAAACCACCCAUGCAGGAUCAAAGUACAACCCAUCUGUAAUGCAGGUCAAGACUCUAUGCACACAAGUUGGCUCAGGGAUCUGUGGACUUCAGAAGCCAGUAGCUGGUACUGGGCCUGACGUGUUGCCAGUUUGAUCUGUUCAAUAUUUGGCCACUGAAAACCUCUUCAAACUUCUCCACCCCACAUAGUUAUAUAUGAAUUAUAUGAAGACCUACAGUACCUUUUUUCAGUUCUGUGGUUGCAGUCAUCACCAUCCUACAUUUUUAUCUGAAUCAUUAUCAUUGGUGUUGACUGGGUUUGACCCGUGAGGAUUCAGGGUUAAAUAUGAUCACAUCUCUGCCAAGUUUGAAUUCCUUUGUAAAAUUUAACGCGUCGACUUUUUCUAGGAUGAUGGGAGGCCUCCCAGCAGGGGAACUUAAACCCACCCCUGUUCUGUAUUGGUACAGUAGUUGAUACUCGGCUUUAAGCGUUCAUCUGUUCGUGGUGCGGUUUUACUCGGUAGGGCGGCGUUUACAUUGGAAAGCAAACCUGGCAGAGAUGACUUGAAGCUGAUGAGUGAGCAAAUUUAGUUGUUUCUAGUGAUCGUGACCACUAAAACCUAAAGAUGACACGUUGAACAGAACUGUUCAACGUGUCAUCUGAGUGCGGAAAGGAAUUACAUUUAUAUAAAUCCAAGACAAAUCUGGCAACAUGUUUGACCCAGUACCACCAAAGACCAUCAAAGACUCAACUGUUUGUUUUUGUUUUUUUUUUU